This 74-nucleotide transfer RNA is filed under the name Caudoviricetes sp. RNAcentral describes it as "tRNA-Arg". It matches the Rfam family "tRNA". From Rfam's summary of the family: Transfer RNA (tRNA) molecules are approximately 80 nucleotides in length. Lineage: Duplodnaviria; Heunggongvirae; Uroviricota; Caudoviricetes. RNAcentral also lists the same sequence under 1 other name. The record is from RNAcentral.
GUCCCGGUAGCUUAGUCGGAGAAAGCGUAUGGCUACGAACCAUAAGAUCGGGGGUUCGAGUCCCUCUCGGGAUA